This 74-nucleotide transfer RNA is filed under the name Simkania sp. RNAcentral describes it as "tRNA-Arg". It matches the Rfam family "tRNA". Rfam says of the family: Transfer RNA (tRNA) molecules are approximately 80 nucleotides in length. Their secondary structure includes four short double-helical elements and three loops (D, anti-codon, and T loops). Lineage: Bacteria; Pseudomonadati; Chlamydiota; Chlamydiia; Parachlamydiales; Simkaniaceae. The record is from RNAcentral. RNAcentral also lists the same sequence under 2 other names.
GUCCUCGUAGCUCAGUUGGAUAGAGCAAUUGCCUCCUAAGCAGUAGGUCGCGCGUUCAAAUCGCGCCGAGGACG